This 253-nucleotide ribosomal RNA is filed under the name uncultured prokaryote. Its description in RNAcentral is "partial 16S ribosomal RNA". It matches the Rfam family "Bacterial small subunit ribosomal RNA", at positions 525 to 777 of the family's 1533-position model. The record is from RNAcentral.
ACAGAGGGGGCAAGCGUUGUUCGGAAUUACUGGGCGUAAAGGGCGCGUAGGCGGCCUUCUAAGUCGAACGUGAAAUCCCCGGGCUCAACCCGGGAACUGCGUCCGAUACUGGAAGGCUUGAAUCCGGGAGAGGGAUGCGGAAUUCCAGGUGUAGCGGUGAAAUGCGUAGAUAUCUGGAGGAACACCGGUGGCGAAGGCGGCAUCCUGGACCGGUAUUGACGCUGAGGCGCGAAAGCCAGGGGAGCAAACGGGA